This 253-nucleotide ribosomal RNA is filed under the name uncultured bacterium. Its description in RNAcentral is "partial 16S ribosomal RNA". It matches the Rfam family "Bacterial small subunit ribosomal RNA", at positions 526 to 776 of the family's 1533-position model. The record is from RNAcentral.
GACGGGGGGCAAGUGUUAUUCGGAAUGACUGGGCGUAAAGGGCACGUAGGCAGUGAAUCAGGUUGAAAGUCAAAGACGCCAGCUCAACUGGCGGAAUGCUUUCAAAACCAAUUCACUCGAGUGAGAUAGAGGGGAGUGGAAUUUCGUGUGUAGGGACAAAAUCCGGAGAUAUACGAAGGAACGCCGAAGUAGCGAAGGCAGCUUUCUGGGUCUCUACUGACGCUAGGGUGCGAAAGCUUGGGGAGCAAACAGG